Non-coding RNA from Streptomyces gancidicus BKS 13-15, 75 nucleotides. It matches the Rfam family "ASpks TB sRNA". Lineage: Bacteria; Bacillati; Actinomycetota; Actinomycetes; Kitasatosporales; Streptomycetaceae. The record is from Rfam.
CUUGGCGGAGCCGAGCCACAGCGGGCGGUCGUCGGGCCGGUCCUGGCCGUAGGUGGCGAUGAGGGCCUGCGCCUC